This 68-nucleotide unclassified non-coding RNA is filed under the name Planktothrix serta PCC 8927. RNAcentral's name for it is "HEARO". It matches the Rfam family "HNH endonuclease-associated RNA and ORF (HEARO) RNA", at positions 65 to 132 of the family's 211-position model. The record is from RNAcentral. Lineage: Bacteria; Bacillati; Cyanobacteriota; Cyanophyceae; Oscillatoriales; Microcoleaceae.
GUCUUAACUGACUACGUUUUUUGAGUCAAGACACCCUGUUGGAUGCGUAGCUAGUCCCUGGCUCUGUC